Long non-coding RNA from Daphnia magna, 501 nucleotides. RefSeq lists it as uncharacterized. The transcript is spliced from 3 exons. NCBI's taxonomy places the organism in Eukaryota, Metazoa, Arthropoda, Branchiopoda, Diplostraca, Daphniidae. The record is from RefSeq and is a predicted model, not a curated record.
UAAAAUUUAUCUGGCAAUCACACCACGCGACAGGAAACUCUUCUGCCAGCCAGUGCCAGCCGCAAUCAGUAGAGUAACGUGGUUUGGCGAAGUAGGUUGCUGUUCUGUGUGCUAAUGCUGUUCGGUGUGCUACUGUUUUUGUGUGCUGGUGAAGGUGAUUGUUGUUAAGGUUCCUGUUUAUUCUGUAACCACCAGAGGAAAAAUUCAUGAAUACAUGGAAAAGACGUUCGAAUUCCGUGAUAGAGAGAGCACAUUUAGAUUUACGUCAGCGAGUGAAAUUCUUUUGGAAUAUCCCCGGUUUAUUGAUGUUGAAGAAGGAUCGCUGAUUCUUCUUGACUUUCAUCGUUCGUAUCCGGACACGCAUUAUUGUAAGGAAUGCACCAGCUCACUCUUUCUUGGAAAAAUAUCCUCCCUCUCAUUCCUGGAAACAAGUCAUUUACCUUUCCAUCCUUUCAUUACGCUCACCUUGCGUUGGUGAUCGCGUUGACUUUGUUUGUCGUA